This 509-nucleotide ribosomal RNA is filed under the name Bacillus cereus. RNAcentral describes it as "bacterial SSU rRNA". It matches the Rfam family "Bacterial small subunit ribosomal RNA", at positions 1 to 492 of the family's 1533-position model. The record is from RNAcentral. Lineage: Bacteria; Bacillati; Bacillota; Bacilli; Caryophanales; Bacillaceae.
UUGGGAGAAAGUUGAUCCUGGCUCAGGAUGAACGCUGGCGGCGUGCCUAAUACAUGCAAGUCGAGCGAAUGGAUUAAGAGCUUGCUCUUAUGAAGUUAGCGGCGGACGGGUGAGUAACACGUGGGUAACCUGCCCAUAAGACUGGGAUAACUCCGGGAAACCGGGGCUAAUACCGGAUAACAUUUUGAACCGCAUGGUUCGAAAUUGAAAGGCGGCUUCGGCUGUCACUUAUGGAUGGACCCGCGUCGCAUUAGCUAGUUGGUGAGGUAACGGCUCACCAAGGCAACGAUGCGUAGCCGACCUGAGAGGGUGAUCGGCCACACUGGGACUGAGACACGGCCCAGACUCCUACGGGAGGCAGCAGUAGGGAAUCUUCCGCAAUGGACGAAAGUCUGACGGAGCAACGCCGCGUGAGUGAUGAAGGCUUUCGGGUCGUAAAACUCUGUUGUUAGGGAAGAACAAGUGCUAGUUGAAUAAGCUGGCACCUUGACGGUACCAACCAGAAAGCC